RNAcentral lists this long non-coding RNA (477 nucleotides) under Rattus norvegicus (Norway rat). Its description in RNAcentral is "long non-coding RNA NONRATT032416". Lineage: Eukaryota; Metazoa; Chordata; Mammalia; Rodentia; Muridae. The record is from RNAcentral.
CAUUUCUGUUCCUUACAUAAAGCCUCUUGCUACCUCCCCUUUCUUCCAGGCCAAAUAGCAUAAAGAAGCAGUGCUAUAUGGAUUUCACAGGCGGUAGUCCUACACUUGAGAAUAUAAACUAUUUUUAAAAUAGAGCAAAUAGCAGGUGAAGAGGCCAUGGUUGGAGAGAGUGGCAGCUGUAGAAACAAAGAACGAUGUGAUCUCUCAAGGCGUUGCUGCUGCUUUCUGUAGUGGUUACAUUAACUGAAGCAUUCAUUGACCAUGGCUGUAACUGAGGUCUUAAUGGAAAAUCUGACCUGGCAAGAGGAGCGUCUUUUCCUGGAACAGAGCACAGGCCUGGAGCAUCGGUGCUGAGGAACAAACAUGGAGAAACCCUGGGCAGCCUGGAAAUGGAAAGUUCCUCAAUCCAUGAGAGAAUUUGUCUCAACAAUAAGCAGGAAAAGUAACUGAGGAAGAAAUUGGACUUCAACCUCUGGC